Molecule: ribosomal RNA, 443 nt
Filed under: uncultured bacterium
Lineage: Bacteria
Description: partial 16S ribosomal RNA
Rfam family: Bacterial small subunit ribosomal RNA
Source: RNAcentral
CCUACGGGUGGCAGCAGUGGGGAAUAUUGGGCAAUGGGCGCAAGCCUGACCCAGCAACGCCGCGUGAAGGAAGAAGGCUUUCGGGUUGUAAACUUCUUUUCUCAGGGACGAAGCAAGUGACGGUACCUGAGGAAUAAGCCACGGCUAACUACGUGCCAGCAGCAGCGGUAAUACGUAGGUGGCAAGCGUUAUCCGGAUUUACUGGGGUUACGGGGCGUGUAGGCGGGACUGCAAGUCAGAUGUGAAAACCACGGGCGCAACCUGUGGCCUGCAUUUGAAACUGUAGUUCUUGAGUACUGGAGAGGCAGACGGAAUGCCUAGUGUAGCGGUGAAAUGCGUAGAUAUUAGGAGGAACACCAGUGGCGAAGGCGGUCUGCUGGACAGCAACUGACGCUGAGGCGCGAAAGCGUGGGGAGCAAACAGGAUUAGAUACCCUAGUAGUC